UCGAACGAGAAGUUACCUUCGGGUAACGAGUACAGUGGCGCACGGGUGAGUAACGCGUGGACAAUCUGCCCUUUGGUUUGGGAUAACCCCGGGAAACUGGAGCUAAUACCGAAUAAGCCCACGACGUCCUCGGACGAUGUGGGAAAAGGUGGCCUCUCCUUGGAAGCUGUCGCCAAUUGAUGAGUCCGCGUACCAUUAGCUUGUUGGUGAGGUAACGGCUCACCAAGGCUGUGAUGGUUAGCUGAUCUGAGAGGAUGAUCAGCCACACUGGAACUGAGACACGGUCCAGACUCCUACGGGAGGCAGCAGUCGGGAAUCUUGGGCAAUGGGGGAAACCCUGACCCAGCAACUCCGCGUGAGGGAUGAAGGCCUUCGGGUCGUAAACCUCUGUCGGGAGGGAAGAAAGCCGUAUUGUGAAUAUCUAUACGGUCUGACGGUACCUCCAAAGGAAGCACCGGCUAACUCCGUGCCAGCAGCCGCGGUAAUACGGAGGGUGCAAGCGUUGUUCGGAAUUAUUGGGCGUAAAGCGGAUGUAGGCGGUCAAGUAAGUCGGAUGUGAAAUCCCUGGGCCCAACCCAGGAACUGCAUCCGAAACUGCUUGACUAGAGUCUCGGAGGGGGUGGCGGAAUUCCCGGUGUAGAGGUGAAAUUCGUAGAUAUCGGGAGGAACACCAGUGGCGAAGGCGGCCACCUGGACGAUGACUGACGCUCA
RNAcentral lists this ribosomal RNA (711 nucleotides) under uncultured delta proteobacterium. RNAcentral's name for it is "bacterial SSU rRNA". It matches the Rfam family "Bacterial small subunit ribosomal RNA", at positions 62 to 749 of the family's 1533-position model. The record is from RNAcentral. Lineage: Bacteria; Deltaproteobacteria.